UACGAAGGGGGCUAGCGUUGUUCGGAAUCACUGGGCGUAAAGCGCACGUAGGCGGACUGGUCAGUUGGGGGUGAAAUCCCAGGCCUCAACCCUGGAACUGCCUCCAAUACUGCCAGUCUUGAGUCCGAGAGAGGUGAGUGGAAUUCCUAGUGUAGAGGUGAAAUUCGUAGAUAUUAGGAAGAACACCAGUGGCGAAGGCGGCUCACUGGUCCGGUACUGACGCUGAGGUGCGAAAGCGUGGGGAGCAAACAGG
RNAcentral lists this unclassified non-coding RNA (253 nucleotides) under uncultured Alphaproteobacteria bacterium. Its description in RNAcentral is "contains 16S-23S intergenic spacer region". It matches the Rfam family "Bacterial small subunit ribosomal RNA", at positions 524 to 776 of the family's 1533-position model. Lineage: Bacteria; Pseudomonadati; Pseudomonadota; Alphaproteobacteria. The record is from RNAcentral.